UUGGAAAUCAGAAUAGCCAUCUGCGGUUCGGUUCCGCAUAAAACAGCCGAAACUUAAAAAUAAACGCAAACGAUAAUUAUUCGUUAGCAGCAGCCUAACUGCUGCUUGUCGACCUUAGGCAACCCGUGACUUAAGACCUCGGCAUCAAAUGAACGGGACACUCUGCUUCCAAAGCUUUGAGGAGGCAGAAAAUAUAUGAAGCUACUAAAACGCAAAGCCUGUCAUUAGGCGCUGCGCAGAGGGAAUGUUAAAUUAAUGACUGUGAUGGAAGAAGUUUUGAUGAAAGAGCUUUCGGACGCGGGUUCAACUCCCGCCAGGUCCAUUA
RNAcentral lists this transfer-messenger RNA (325 nucleotides) under Clostridiaceae bacterium. RNAcentral's name for it is "partial transfer-messenger RNA". It matches the Rfam family "transfer-messenger RNA". From Rfam's summary of the family: Bacterial tmRNA, also known as 10Sa RNA or SsrA, is named for its dual tRNA and mRNA-like properties. Its role is to liberate the mRNA from a stalled ribosome. The record is from RNAcentral. Lineage: Bacteria; Bacillati; Bacillota; Clostridia; Eubacteriales; Clostridiaceae.